GUGCUCAUUUCGGCAGCACAUACACUAAAAUUGGAAAGAUACAGAGAAGAUUAGCAUGGCCCCAGGGCAAGGGUGACAUUCAAAUUCGUGAAGCAUUCCAUAUUAAG
Ursus americanus (American black bear) is the source of this 107-nucleotide small nuclear RNA. The record is from Ensembl. Lineage: Eukaryota; Metazoa; Chordata; Mammalia; Carnivora; Ursidae.